RNAcentral lists this transfer RNA (100 nucleotides) under Sordaria macrospora k-hell. RNAcentral's name for it is "tRNA-Ile". The record is from RNAcentral. RNAcentral also lists the same sequence under 1 other name. Lineage: Eukaryota; Fungi; Ascomycota; Sordariomycetes; Sordariales; Sordariaceae.
GCCCGAUUAGCUCAGCUGGUUAGAGCGUCGUACUAAUAUCUUCCUCCAGGGAAAUAUCAAGUUCAUGCGAAGGUCAACAGUUCAAUCCUGUUAUUGGGCA